Molecule: transfer RNA, 60 nt
Filed under: Vibrio sp. AND4
Lineage: Bacteria; Pseudomonadati; Pseudomonadota; Gammaproteobacteria; Vibrionales; Vibrionaceae
Description: tRNA-Ala
Rfam family: tRNA
About the family: Transfer RNA (tRNA) molecules are approximately 80 nucleotides in length. Their secondary structure includes four short double-helical elements and three loops (D, anti-codon, and T loops).
Source: RNAcentral
AUAGCUCAGCUGGGAGAGCGCCUGCCUUGCACGCAGGAGGUCAGCAGUUCGAUCCUGCUU